AUGUCGAACAAAACAGAGAAGAUGAGCAGGGGCGUCCCGCUCACGGACGAGGACCGCCUCCCGUGGCCGGAGUCGCUGCGCGACGCCAUCAGAGAGCGGCUGGACCGCAGCGAGGACGUCGCCGUCAGCUGCUCGGCGCUGCGGCUCAAGUAUCAGCCGAGCGGCGAGACCGGGACGAGCGGCGAGACCGGGACGAGCGGCGCGAGUGCCGUGCAGGCGGCCGGACUGAGCGGCUAUGGCGCACGGGCAUAA
This 252-nucleotide ribosomal RNA is filed under the name Triticum aestivum (bread wheat). Its description in RNAcentral is "partial small subunit ribosomal RNA". The record is from RNAcentral. Lineage: Eukaryota; Viridiplantae; Streptophyta; Magnoliopsida; Poales; Poaceae.